Pogonomyrmex barbatus (red harvester ant) is the source of this 341-nucleotide long non-coding RNA. The record is from RefSeq and is a predicted model, not a curated record. Lineage: Eukaryota; Metazoa; Arthropoda; Insecta; Hymenoptera; Formicidae.
GGAGUCGAACGUGCUCGUCGCGAUUUCGAAACUUGCCGUUUGAAAUUUGAGCUCACGUCGGUUUGUCUCAUCUUUCGUUGUUACAUGUCUCGUAAUAUUGAUGUGUUUCCUUAAAUUUAAACUCUACACAAUGCAUACAAUGAAGGAAAUAUUAAGAACAAGAAUAAAUAUUAAUAAUCAAGAUCUAUGGAACAGGAACAAAGAAUAAUGCAGUAAAUUAGACUUUCAUCGGCAACCUAAUUUAGUAUCUUCAGAUUUGGGAUUUUAAGGAACAUUACAAUUUUUUGCAUCAUUCUAUACUGUAUAAAAAUCUCGUAUAUUUCUGAAACAAUAACAAUGUG